RNAcentral lists this microRNA (22 nucleotides) under Drosophila simulans. RNAcentral's name for it is "Dsi-Mir-982-P2_3p (mature (guide))". The record is from RNAcentral. Lineage: Eukaryota; Metazoa; Arthropoda; Insecta; Diptera; Drosophilidae.
ACUACACGAUAUUCGUUCUUGA